This 999-nucleotide unclassified non-coding RNA is filed under the name Hevea brasiliensis (rubber tree). Lineage: Eukaryota; Viridiplantae; Streptophyta; Magnoliopsida; Malpighiales; Euphorbiaceae. The record is from RNAcentral.
AUCGAGGAGGACUAUGGUGUUACUUACAGCCUUUUGUGUUGGGGAUUUUUUCCCUUCAUUUGGAUGGAUUUUUGAUGUGAUUAGAGGAUUUGAUGGGGAAUUGAAAAAUUGCUUCAAAAUAUUAGAUGAGUUUUUCAGUAAGGUAGUUGAAGAACAUAAGGAAAAGAUUAUUAGGGCAGGUGGGAUUGAUAUUCAUGAUGAGUCUAGAAAGGAUUUCUUGGAUAUUAUGCUACAACUUCAACGAGAUGGAAUGAUUGACUACCAUUUCUCUCUUGACAACCUCAAAGCAAUCGUUUUGGACAUGUUUGUUGGCGGCAGUGACACAACAGCGACAGGAUUGGAAUGGACAAUGACAGAGCUGAUGAGAAAGCCAAGAAUUAUGAAGAAAGUCCAAGAAGAAAUUAGAACAAUAAUUGGUGUUAAAUCAAAGAUAGAAGCUGAAGACAUUCAGAAAAUGGAGUACAUGCAGUGUGUCAUUAAAGAAUCUCUAAGACUUCACCCACCAGUUCCUCUUUUAGUGCCAAGAGAAACAACAACAGAUGUGGAGAUUGAAGGUUAUCAUAUUCCAUCAAAGACAAGAGUAUUUGUAAAUGCUUGGGCCAUUCAAAGAGACCCUCAAUCUUGGGAUAACCCAAAUGAGUUCAUUCCAGAGAGAUUUAUGGACAAAAUUAAUUCAGCUGAUUACAAAGGCCAACACUUUGAGUACAUUCCAUUUGGAAGUGGGAGAAGAAAGUGCCCUGGAUUGUCAUUUGGGAUUGCUUCUUUUGAAUUUGCUUUGGCUAAUCUUCUCUAUUGGUUUGAUUGGAAGCUUCCUAAUGGCUGUGAAUCAUUGGAUGUUGAAGAAGCAAAUGGACUCACCGUUCAUAAGAAAAUCUCUCUCAUUCUCAACCCUAUUCCUUAUGUGGUCUAAAAAUCAAUAAUUCAUUCUCAUGUGGGAGAGUACUUUAGUGUUAUAAUUAUUACUUAGUGUUAUAUAUAUAUUUGACUAAGAAGUCAAAA